GACGAACGCUGGCGGCGUGCUUAACACAUGCAAGUCGAACGAAGAGCGACGGAAGCUUGCUUCUAUCAAUCUUAGUGGCGAACGGGUGAGUAACGCGUAAUCAACCUGCCCUUCAGAGGGGGACAGCAGUUGGAAACGACUGCUAAUACCGCAUACGAUCUAAUCUCGGCAUCGAGGAUGGAUGAAAGGUGGCCUCUACAUGUAAGCUAUCACUGAAGGAGGGGAUUGCGUCUGAUUAGCUAGUUGGAGGGGUAACGGCCCACCAAGGCGAUGAUCAGUAGCCGGUCUGAGAGGAUGAACGGCCACAUUGGGACUGAGACACGGCCCAGACUCCUACGGGAGGCAGCAGUGGGGAAUCUUCCGCAAUGGACGAAAGUCUGACGGAGCAACGCCGCGUGAGUGAUGACGGCCUUCGGGUUGUAAAGCUCUGUUAAUCGGGACGAAAGGCCUUCUUGCGAA
This 459-nucleotide ribosomal RNA is filed under the name Veillonella parvula. Its description in RNAcentral is "bacterial SSU rRNA". It matches the Rfam family "Bacterial small subunit ribosomal RNA", at positions 28 to 464 of the family's 1533-position model. The record is from RNAcentral. Lineage: Bacteria; Bacillati; Bacillota; Negativicutes; Veillonellales; Veillonellaceae.